UGAUACGUACUGUGCGAACGUUAUUCGGAAUUACUGGGCUUAAAGGGUGUGUAGGCGGCUGAUUAAGUAGGGUGUGAAAGGCUCCGGCCUAACCGGAGCAUUGCGCUCUAAACUGAUCGGCUUGAGUGAGAUAGGGGUGUGCGGAACUUCCAGUGGAGCGGUGAAAUGUGUUGAUAUUGGAAGGAACGCCGGUGGCGAAAGCGGCACACUGGGUCUUAACUGACGCUGAGACACGAAAGCCAGGGGAGCGAACGGGAUUAGAUACCCCGGUAGUCCUGGCUGUAAACGCUGAGCACUAGUUGGGAGGGGCUUCGGCCCAUCCGAACGCAGAGAAAUCAUUAAGUGCUCCGCCUGGGGAGUAUGGUCGCAAGGCUG
RNAcentral lists this ribosomal RNA (375 nucleotides) under uncultured bacterium. RNAcentral describes it as "bacterial SSU rRNA". It matches the Rfam family "Bacterial small subunit ribosomal RNA", at positions 521 to 896 of the family's 1533-position model. The record is from RNAcentral.